Molecule: long non-coding RNA, 415 nt
Organism: Neodiprion fabricii
Lineage: Eukaryota; Metazoa; Arthropoda; Insecta; Hymenoptera; Diprionidae
Exons: 3
Source: RefSeq, a predicted model, not a curated record
CCACGAUGAUGUUUCAAUUAUCAAAAGGCGCGAAAAGUUGUCAACAUGUUGGUAGGUUGGGAAAUUGUUUGCGUUAUUGGUUAAGAUUGCCGCAGAAGCAUUUGAUGUAACUGACUAAAUUUUUUUGAGUGUAAAUAAUACGGGACAAUUGAACUCCUUCGCAAACUCUGGCGAGUUUGACAAAGGCCCAACGACCCUGUACUUCGAUGUGCAGUGUGAGUCCUUCUCUAUCUGGAGACCUACAGCCUCGGAUGUUACCGCCGAACACCAAACCUGCCCAAAGUAGUUCAGGAUUAACGGGAAGCAAUGACUAGAAGACACGAUGUAACAUAAUUUCAGAAUCAUUGCACAUUAUACAUAAAAAGGACGUAUUUAAUCAUAUACAUGUAUAAAUUAGUUGUUAGACAAAGCAUAU